Molecule: ribosomal RNA, 250 nt
Filed under: uncultured bacterium
Lineage: Bacteria
Description: partial 16S ribosomal RNA
Rfam family: Bacterial small subunit ribosomal RNA
Source: RNAcentral
UGGGGAAUAUUGGACAAUGGGCGAAAGCCUGAUCCAGCAAUGCCGCGUGUGUGAAGAAGGCCUGCGGGUUGUAAAGCACUUUUAUCGGGAAAGAAAAGCUUGGGGCUAAUAUCUCCAAGCCUUGACGGUACCCGUUGAAUAAGCACCGGCUAACUCCGUGCCAGCAGCCGCGGUAAUACGGAGGGUGCAAGCGUUAAUCGGAAUUACUGGGCGUAAAGCGAGUGUAGGUGGCCGCAUAAGUCGGAUGUGA